RNAcentral lists this microRNA precursor (67 nucleotides) under Bombyx mori (domestic silkworm). RNAcentral describes it as "mir-2774 microRNA precursor family". It matches the Rfam family "mir-2774 microRNA precursor family". Lineage: Eukaryota; Metazoa; Arthropoda; Insecta; Lepidoptera; Bombycidae. The record is from Rfam by way of RNAcentral.
AAAACUCUCGGGCCGUUGGUCUACCGAGCAAUAUCACCCGCUCGAUGGAUGGUCUUGUCUCCGUUGU